Molecule: ribosomal RNA, 253 nt
Filed under: uncultured bacterium
Lineage: Bacteria
Description: partial 16S ribosomal RNA
Rfam family: Bacterial small subunit ribosomal RNA
Source: RNAcentral
UACGGAGGAUCCGAGCGUUAUCCGGAUUUAUUGGGUUUAAAGGGUGCGUAGGCGGCCUUGUAAGUCAGGGGUGAAAGACGGUAGCUUAACUAUCGCAGUGCCUUUGAUACUGCAGGGCUUGAAUGUACUUGAGGUAGGCGGAAUGUGACAAGUAGCGGUGAAAUGCAUAGAUAUGUCACAGAACACCAAUUGCGAAGGCAGCUUACUAAAGUAUGAUUGACGCUGAGGCACGAAAGCGUGGGGAGCAAACAGG